This 433-nucleotide ribosomal RNA is filed under the name uncultured bacterium. Its description in RNAcentral is "partial 16S ribosomal RNA". It matches the Rfam family "Bacterial small subunit ribosomal RNA", at positions 29 to 507 of the family's 1533-position model. The record is from RNAcentral.
AACGAACGCUGGCGGCAUGCCUAACACAUGCAAGUCGAACGAUGCCUUCGGGCAUUGUGUCGCACGGGUGCGGAACGCGUGGGAAUCUUCAUUUCGGGUCAGAAUAACUCUGAGAAACGUGAGAUAAUACCGGAUCACGUCGCAAGACCAAAAAUUUAUCACCCAAAAAUGUUCCGGAGUGGGAUUAGCUUUUUGUUGAACUAAAGGCUCACCAAGGCGACUAUUCUUAGAUGGUCAGAGAGGAUGGUCAGCGACACUGGGACUAAGACGCGGCCGAGACUCCUACGGGAUGCAGCAGUGGCGGAUAGUGGACCGUCGGGGGAAGCCUGAUCCAGUUAGGACGGGAGAGUGAUGAAGGCCUGAGGGAUGUAAAGCGCUUUUAACCGGGAAGGUCAUGACGGUACCGGGAGAGUAAGCCCCGGCUAACUCCGUG